Molecule: long non-coding RNA, 223 nt
Organism: Chelonia mydas (Green sea turtle)
Lineage: Eukaryota; Metazoa; Chordata; Testudines; Cheloniidae
Exons: 3
Source: RefSeq, a predicted model, not a curated record
UGUGGUGUGUGGUUGCUGGUGAGUCUUUGCUUCAGGCUGGGGGGCUGUCUGUAAGCAAGGACUGGCCUGUCUCCCAAGAUCUGUGAGAGUGAUGGGUCGUCCUUCAGGAUAGGUUGUAGAUCCUGGACGAUGCAUUGGAGAGAUUUUAGAUGGGGGCUGAAGAUGAUGGCUAGUGGCAUUCUGUUAUUUUCUUUGAUGGGCCUGUCCUUGAUUGUCACUACAG